Long non-coding RNA from Anser cygnoides (Swan goose), 2106 nucleotides. NCBI's taxonomy places the organism in Eukaryota, Metazoa, Chordata, Aves, Anseriformes, Anatidae. The record is from Ensembl.
UAAUUACUGGGGGGUGGUUAAUUAGCAGGUGCAAUUAACGCCCCCUGACCCCCCCCCCAGGUGCCGCCGGGCGCUGCCCCCCUGGUGCUGGGAGCCCGUCCCCAACCCCGGGCGCAGCCGCGCCGCCCAGCUGGGGGGCACCGGGGGGGGCACCGGGGGGGGGCCUGAUCCUGGCCCCGGCCCCGAGGAGCCGCUGCUGGCGCUGACGGUGCUGGGGACGGCCACGGACACGGGGACGGACACGGGGACGGACACCGGGACGGACACCGGGACGGACACCGGGACGGACACCGGGACGGACGCGGGCGCCGGGACGGGCGCGGGCCCCCCCCAGGGGUGUCCGGGAGCCCCCCCGGCGGGGUCGGGCUACGAGCGCCAUUUUCUGCCCACCCCCGAGGAGGUGCUGGGCUGGGGGCGGCCCCCGGGGAGCCCCCCGGGGACACGGGGAGAGGACGCGGGGCCACACGGAGUGGGCACGGAGCCUCACGGAACCGACACGGGGACACGGGGAGGUGUCACGGGGCCACACGGAGUGGGCACGGAGCCUCACGGAACCGACACGGGGACACACGGAGCUGACACGGGGACACACGGAGGUGACACGGGGCCACACGGGGCUGUCAUGGGGUCACACGGCGGUGACAUGGAGUCUCGUGGAACUGACACGGAGCCACACGGAGCUGACACGGGGACACGUGGAGCUGACACGGGGCCUCACGGAACCAACAUGGAGCCACACGGAUCUGCCCCUGGGCCUCAUGGAGUGGACACGGGGCCACACGGAACUGAGACCGGGACACACGGAGCCACCACGGGGCCUCACGGGGCUGACACGGGGACACAUGGAGCUGGUGUGGGGGCACAUGGAAUGGACACGGGACCACACGGAGGUGACACGGGGCCACACGGAACCAAAACAGGGCCUCAUGGAGGUGACAUAGGGACACGUGGAGCUGACGUGAGGACACAUGGAGGUGACACAGGGACACACGGAACCAACACGGGGCCUCAUGGAUCUGUCAUGGGAACACAUGGAACCAACAUGGGGCCUCAUGGAGGUGACAUGGGGACACGUGGAGCUGAUCUGGGGACACAUGGAACUGACACAGGGACACACGGAACCACCAUGGGGCCUCAUGGAGGUGACACGGGGACACAUGGAGCUGGUGUGGGGCCACCCGGAGGUGACACAGGGCCCCAUGGAACUGACACGGGGCCACACGGAGCCUCCACAGGACCUCAUGGGGCUGGCAUGGGAGCACAAGGAGCUCAUGUGGGGACACAUGGAGGUGACACGGGGACGUGUGGAGCUGAUGUGAGGACACAUGGAAGUGACACGGGGACACACGGAACCACGAAGGGGCCUCGUGGAGCUGUCACCGGGACACACGGAGCUGGCGUGGGGACACAUGGAGGUGACACGGGGCCACACGGAGGUGACCUGGAGGUGCACAGAGUGGCCACGGGGCCUCAUGGAACCACCACGGGGCCUCACGGGACUGCCAUGGGGACACACGGAACCAACAUGGGGCCUCAUGGAGGUGACACGGGGACACGUGGAGCUGAUGUGAGAACACAUGGAAGUGACACAGGGACACACGAAACCAGCACGGGGCCUCGUGGAGCUGUCACGGGGACACACGGAGCUGGUGUGGGGACACAUGGAGGUGACACAGGGACACAUGGAGCUGACAUGAGGACACACGGAGGUGACACAGGGACACAUGGAACUGACACGGGGCCACACGGAAGCACCACGGGGCCUCAUGGAGCUGUCACGGGGACACACGGAGCUGGUGUGGGAACAGAUGGAGGUGACAUGGGGACACACAGAACUGAGACGGGGCCUCAUGGAGGUGACAUGGGGACAUGUGGAGCUGGUGUGGGGACACCCAGAGGUGACACCAGGACACACGGAACCAACAUGGGGCCUCAUGGAGGUGACACGGGGACACAUGGAGCUGAUGUGAGGACACACGGAGGUGACACAGGGACACACGGAACUGAGACGGGGCCUCAUGGAGGUGACACGGGGACACACGGAGCUGGUGUGGGGACACCCGGAGGUGACACGGGGCCACCCGGAGCCCCCCCGGGGCUGUGACG